GCCUCGGUAGUUUAGCGGAUAAAACACCUCCCAUCGGUAUGAUGUCGGGGUGUGCGUUGAGGAGACGAUCUGGGUUCGAUUCCUGGUCGGGGCA
Molecule: non-coding RNA, 94 nt
Organism: Mycena crocata
Lineage: Eukaryota; Fungi; Basidiomycota; Agaricomycetes; Agaricales; Mycenaceae
Source: the annotation of a GenBank genome assembly